RNAcentral lists this non-coding RNA (120 nucleotides) under Mycobacterium sp. Lineage: Bacteria; Bacillati; Actinomycetota; Actinomycetes; Mycobacteriales; Mycobacteriaceae. The record is from RNAcentral.
AGGAAGCCGGUGUGAUUCCGGCACGGUCCCGCCACUGUGACCGGGGAGCGGACCCCACGCGUGACCACGGCCUGCGGGCUGGAAGGGCGGGGCGAGCGGUGAUCCGGGAGUCAGGACACU